GACGAACGCUGGCGGCGUGCUUAACACAUGCAAGUCGAACGGAAAGGCCCUGCUUUUGUGGGGUGCUCGAGUGGCGAACGGGUGAGUAACACGUGAGUAACCUGCCCUUGACUUUGGGAUAACUUCAGGAAACUGGGGCUAAUACCGGAUAGGAGCUCCUGCUGCAUGGGGGGGGUUGGAAAGUUUCGGCGGUUGGGGAUGGACUCGCGGCUUAUCAGCUUGUUGGUGGGGUAGUGGCUUCCCACGGCUUUGACGGGUAGCCGGCCUGAGAGGGUGCCCGGCCACCUUGGGACUGAGGUACGGCCCAGACUCCUACGGGCGGCAGCGGUGGGGAAUAUUGCACAAUGGGCGGAAGCCUGAUGCAGCAACGCCGCGUGCGGGAUGACGGCCUUCGGGUUGUAAACCGCUUUCGCCUGUGACGAAGCGUGAGUGACGGUACUGGGUAAAGAAGCACCGGCUAACUACGUG
RNAcentral lists this ribosomal RNA (468 nucleotides) under uncultured bacterium. RNAcentral's name for it is "partial 16S ribosomal RNA". It matches the Rfam family "Bacterial small subunit ribosomal RNA", at positions 28 to 507 of the family's 1533-position model. The record is from RNAcentral.